RNAcentral lists this ribosomal RNA (1304 nucleotides) under Klebsiella ornithinolytica 2-156-04_S1_C2. RNAcentral describes it as "bacterial LSU rRNA". It matches the Rfam family "Bacterial large subunit ribosomal RNA", at positions 1644 to 2925 of the family's 2925-position model. Lineage: Bacteria; Pseudomonadati; Pseudomonadota; Gammaproteobacteria; Enterobacterales; Enterobacteriaceae. The record is from RNAcentral.
GUACCCCAAACCGACACAGGUGGUCAGGUAGAGAAUACCAAGGCGCUUGAGAGAACUCGGGUGAAGGAACUAGGCAAAAUGGUGCCGUAACUUCGGGAGAAGGCACGCUGAUGGUAGGUGAAGCGACUUGCUCAUGGAGCUGAAAUCAGUCGAAGAUACCAGCUGGCUGCAACUGUUUAUUAAAAACACAGCACUGUGCAAACACGAAAGUGGACGUAUACGGUGUGACGCCUGCCCGGUGCCGGAAGGUUAAUUGAUGGGGUUAUCCGUAAGGAGAAGCUCUUGAUCGAAGCCCCGGUAAACGGCGGCCGUAACUAUAACGGUCCUAAGGUAGCGAAAUUCCUUGUCGGGUAAGUUCCGACCUGCACGAAUGGCGUAAUGAUGGCCAGGCUGUCUCCACCCGAGACUCAGUGAAAUUGAACUCGCUGUGAAGAUGCAGUGUACCCGCGGCAAGACGGAAAGACCCCGUGAACCUUUACUAUAGCUUGACACUGAACAUUGAGCCUUGAUGUGUAGGAUAGGUGGGAGGCUUUGAAGUGUGGACGCCAGUCUGCAUGGAGCCAACCUUGAAAUACCACCCUUUAAUGUUUGAUGUUCUAACGUAGACCCGUGAUCCGGGUUGCGGACAGUGUCUGGUGGGUAGUUUGACUGGGGCGGUCUCCUCCCAAAGAGUAACGGAGGAGCACGAAGGUUAGCUAAUCCUGGUCGGACAUCAGGAGGUUAGUGCAAUGGCAUAAGCUAGCUUGACUGCGAGCGUGACGGCGCGAGCAGGUGCGAAAGCAGGUCAUAGUGAUCCGGUGGUUCUGAAUGGAAGGGCCAUCGCUCAACGGAUAAAAGGUACUCCGGGGAUAACAGGCUGAUACCGCCCAAGAGUUCAUAUCGACGGCGGUGUUUGGCACCUCGAUGUCGGCUCAUCACAUCCUGGGGCUGAAGUAGGUCCCAAGGGUAUGGCUGUUCGCCAUUUAAAGUGGUACGCGAGCUGGGUUUAGAACGUCGUGAGACAGUUCGGUCCCUAUCUGCCGUGGGCGCUGGAGAAUUGAGGGGGGCUGCUCCUAGUACGAGAGGACCGGAGUGGACGCAUCACUGGUGUUCGGGUUGUCAUGCCAAUGGCAUUGCCCGGUAGCUAAAUGCGGAAAAGAUAAGUGCUGAAAGCAUCUAAGCACGAAACUUGCCCCGAGAUGAGUUCUCCCUGACUCCUUGAGAGUCCUGAAGGAACGUUGAAGACGACGACGUUGAUAGGUCGGGUGUGUAAGCGUAGCGAUUAGUGUGGGGUCUCCCCAUGUGAGAGUAGGGAACUGCCAGGC